AGAGGGUGAGAAUCCCGUGCGAUGAGAUGAUCCAGGCCUAUGUAAAGUUCCUUCGAAGAGUCGAGUUGUUUGGGAAUGCAGCUCUAAGUGGGUGGUAAAUUCCAUCUAAAGCUAAAUAUUGGCGAGAGACCGAUAGCGAACAAGUACAGUGAUGGAAAGAUGAAAAGAACUUUGAAAAGAGAGUGAAAAAGUACGUGAAAUUGUUGAAAGGGAAGGGCUUGAGAUCAGACUUGGUAUUUUGUAUGUUACUUCUUCGGGGGUGGCCUCUACAGUUUAUCGGGCCAGCAUCAGUUUGGGCGGUAGGAGAAUUGCGUUGGAAUGUGGCACGGCUUCGGUUGUGUGUUAUAGCCUUCGUCGAUACUGCCAGCCUAGACUGAGGACUGCGGUUUAUACCUAGGAUGUUGGCAUAAUGAUCUUAAGUCGCCCGUCUUGAAACACGGACCAAGGAGUCUAACGUCUAUGCGAGUGUUUGGGUGUAAAACCCGUACGCGUAAUGAAAGUGAACGUAGGUGGGGGCCCGUAUGGGUGCACCAUCGACCGAUCCUGAUGUCUUCGGAUGGAUUUGAGUAAGAGCAUAGCUGUUGGGACCCGAAAGAUGGUGAACUAUGCCUGAAUAGGGUGAAGCCAGAGG
This 631-nucleotide ribosomal RNA is filed under the name Candida tropicalis. Its description in RNAcentral is "LSU rRNA". It matches the Rfam family "Eukaryotic large subunit ribosomal RNA", at positions 207 to 858 of the family's 3401-position model. The record is from RNAcentral. Lineage: Eukaryota; Fungi; Ascomycota; Pichiomycetes; Serinales; Debaryomycetaceae.